AGACGGCUUUCAGAAAGGCCAUGCAUGCCUAAGCCUAAGCUCGUAAUAUGGUUAAGCCGCGAAUGGCUCAUUACAACAGCCUUAGUUUAUUGGAUCUAAAGUCCUACAUGGAUAACUGUGGUAAUUCUAGAGCUAAUACACGCACAGAUCUGCAACUUUAUGGGAGGGAGCAUUUAUUAGAACAAAACCAAUCGGCUUCGGCCGUCUUUGGUGAAUCUGAAUAACUACGCUGAUCGCAUGGUCUCGUACCGGCGACAUAUCCUUCAAGUGUCUGCCUUAUCAACUGUCGAUGGUAGUUUACACGCCUACCAUGGUUGUAACGGGUAACGGAGAAUAAAGGUUCGACUCCGGAGAGGGAGCCUGAGAAACGGCUACCUCCUCCAACGAAGGAAGGAGGCGCGCAAAUUACCCACUCUCUCAACGAGGAGGUAGGGACGAAAAAUAACUAGACAGGUCUCUAUGAAGUCUGUCAUCGUAAUGGGUACAAUUUAUACCCUUUUUCGAGGAUCUAUUGGAGGGGAAGUCUGGUCCCCCCCCGCCCCCCCCCCGCCCGGGGGGCGCCCCGGGGGGGGGGGG
Molecule: ribosomal RNA, 576 nt
Filed under: uncultured eukaryote
Lineage: Eukaryota
Description: partial 18S ribosomal RNA
Rfam family: Eukaryotic small subunit ribosomal RNA
Source: RNAcentral